This 497-nucleotide ribosomal RNA is filed under the name uncultured bacterium. RNAcentral's name for it is "partial 16S ribosomal RNA". It matches the Rfam family "Bacterial small subunit ribosomal RNA", at positions 28 to 507 of the family's 1533-position model. The record is from RNAcentral.
GAUGAACGCUGGCGGCGUGCCUAAUACAUGCAAGUCGAGCGAACAGACGAGGAGCUUGCUCCUCUGACGUUAGCGGCGGACGGGUGAGUAACACGUGGAUAACCUACCUAUAAGACUGGGAUAACUUCGGGAAACCGGAGCUAAUACCGGAUAAUAUAUUGAACCGCAUGGUUCAAUAGUGAAAGACGGUUUUGCUGUCACUUAUAGAUGGAUCCGCGCCGCAUUAGCUAGUUGGUAAGGUAACGGCUUACCAAGGCAACGAUGCGUAGCCGACCUGAGAGGGUGAUCUGCCACACUGUAACUGAGACACGGUCCAGACUCCUACGGGAGGCAGCAGUAGGGAAUCUUCCGCAAUGGGCGAAAGCCUGACGGAGCAACGCCGCGUGAGUGAUGAAGGUCUUCGGAUCGUAAAACUCUGUUAUUAGGGAAGAACAAAGGUGUAAGUAACUAUGCACGUCUUGACGGUACCUAAUCAGAAAGCCACGGCUAACUACGUG